UUGUAGAGCAGCAGGAGAGAGCGGUUUCAUCAUGGUAGCACAUUCAGAGGUCGAUUUAUAGCCAUUCAUCUGAAAUCAUUCAUUGAUGUGAAACAAAAACACUUUCUGUUAGCCAUAAACGGACAAGAUUAUGAGACUGAAGCUAUGAUUCAACGAUGGAUGCGACUUGUUCCUGCCUGGUGUGCCAACGGCCAUGACGUCAGCUUAUUAAGGUCCGUCAUGGGGUACCAGGCCUAAUUAUCCAGUGAUACUGACAUCCAUAGGUUUGAUUUACAUAUCGCUAGUUCUGUUCCUUUAAACUCUUGUUCUUUGACGUCACGUUCUCUCUGAUGUUCUGUUACAUCGCCCAAAAGCACUGAUUUUUUUCUCUCUAAGGCAAGGAGUACUAUCAGUUGCAUAACAGUGUUCUGUACAUCUAGAACACCAUAUUACAUUGCCACUUUUCACCAAUGUUGUCUCUAAACUGGGCGCGUGCAGUAGCUCCGAGACUACCAAGCUGCUCCUUCGGGACUGCCGAGCAGAAAUAUAAACUCACAGAGAGAAGCACAAGAUUGGACUUCAAUCAACUUUCUAGAGCAGUAGUCACCAACCGGUCGAUCGCGCUCACUGGUCGAUCUACAAGGCCUUCCUAGUCGAUCGCCAAAUAUUUAUGUAAAAAACCCAACGAUAAAGCCUUCUGUUCCUAAUUUCUUGUUAUUCGUCUCUGGCUGUUGGCUGUAUGUGGACCCAAUCCAGCUGCCCUGUGCGUCAGAUAGGCGAACUGUUGCCAUUUUGAACAAUUGUAUGUGUCUGAAGGUACAAACUUCUGUCUACCCGGGCGGGCCCAGAGAGCAAAUCAACUGCACAAAAGGUCUACUGCUGGCAGAACGGAUGACUCAGAUGGCGGUGUCUGCAGUAAUGUAGCACGGCAUAAAAGAUAGCUACAACAAAGUUGAUACUGUGAGAUUUCAGAACGUUUAAAACAAUGACAAGAUAGAGACUG
This is a long non-coding RNA of Oncorhynchus keta (chum salmon), 982 nucleotides long. RefSeq lists it as uncharacterized. The record is from RefSeq and is a predicted model, not a curated record. The transcript is spliced from 3 exons. Lineage: Eukaryota; Metazoa; Chordata; Actinopteri; Salmoniformes; Salmonidae.